Coccinella septempunctata (seven-spotted ladybird) is the source of this 1198-nucleotide long non-coding RNA. RefSeq lists it as uncharacterized. The transcript is spliced from 6 exons. The record is from RefSeq and is a predicted model, not a curated record. NCBI's taxonomy places the organism in Eukaryota, Metazoa, Arthropoda, Insecta, Coleoptera, Coccinellidae.
GACAAAGGAAAAUCAAAACGCAAGCGUUUUCGAUAUUUUUCUCGAAGCAACGAGAUAAGAAAUGUGUCAACACCUGGAAGUCUGGUUUUUCUGCACCAUCUGUAUCGCUGUUCGAUACGAAUCAUUCUGUUCUCGACUAGCCAGUGGAAAUGUCGUCGGCUAUACGUUUAAUUGAAAGUGAUCAUUUCAUAUAAUGAUGGUGUGAGGAUGCAACCAGGACCUUCAUAGAGUUACAUUUGUCCAGUUCAACAAAUAGCAUGGUAUGGUGAUGCAAUGAGGCACUUCAUAGAGUAACGUUUGUCCAGUUCGACAAAGAGGUGAGCAUUUUAUAUUAUUGAUUCUAAAUUCUGUUUCAGACAAAGGAAAAUCAAAUCUCCAGCGCCUUCGUUGUUUUUCUCAACGAAAUGAGAUAAGCACCUGGAAGUCUGGUUUUUCUACCAUCUGUAUGAACGUUCGAUACGAGUCAUUCUGUUCACGACUAUCUAGUUGAAAUGAGAUCGGCUAUACCUUUAUUGAAAAGUGAUCAUUUCAUAUAAUCAUGGUAUGGUGAUGCAAUGAGGCACUUCAUAGAGUAACGUUUGUCCAGUUCGACAAAGAGGUGAGCAUUUUAUAUUAUUGAUGAUUCUAAAUUCUGUUUCAGACAAAGGAAAAUCAAAUCUCCAGCGUCUUCGUUGUUUUUCUCAACGCAAUGAGAUAAGCACCUGGAAGUCUGGUUUUUUCUACCAUCUGUAUGAACGUUCGAUACGAGUCAUUCUGUUCACGACUAUCGAGUGAAAAUGAGGUCGGCUUUGCCUUUAUUGGAAAGUGAUCAUUUCAUAUAAUCAUGGUAUGGUGAUGCAAUCAGGAACUUCAUAGAGUUACGUUGGUCCAGUUCGACAAAGAGGUGAGCAUUUUAUAUUAUUGAUUCUAAAUUCUGUUUCAGACAAAGGAAAAUCAAAUCCCCAGCGUCUUCGAUGUUUUUCUCAACGCAAUGAUAUAAACGAUGAGUCGCCUGAUGGUUUGGUUUUUCUUCACCAUCUGUAUCAACGUUCGAUACUAGUCAUUCUGUUCACGACUAUCGAGUGAAAAUGAGGUCGGCUUUACCUUUAUUGGAAAGUGAUCAUUUCAUAUAAUUAUGGUAUAAAUGGAUUGGUGAUGCAAUCAGGAACUUCAUAGGUUUACGACCCUUCAUAGACAUACAUACGUUACAGCAUGCCCA